Molecule: ribosomal RNA, 602 nt
Filed under: uncultured Lachnospiraceae bacterium
Lineage: Bacteria; Bacillati; Bacillota; Clostridia; Lachnospirales; Lachnospiraceae
Description: bacterial SSU rRNA
Rfam family: Bacterial small subunit ribosomal RNA
Source: RNAcentral
AUUAUUUUGACAGAGACUUCGGUUGAAGUCGUUAUAAUCCUAGUGGCGGACGGGUGAGUAACGCGUGGGUAACCUGCCUCACACUGGGGGAUAACAGUCAGAAAUGACUGCUAAUACCGCAUAAGCGCACGGGGCCGCAUGGCUCAGUGUGAAAAACUCCGGUGGUGUGAGAUGGACCCGCGUUGGAUUAGCCAGUUGGCAGGGUAACGGCCUACCAAAGCGACGAUCCAUAGCCGGCCUGAGAGGGUGGACGGCCACAUUGGGACUGAGACACGGCCCAGACUCCUACGGGAGGCAGCAGUGGGGAAUAUUGCACAAUGGGGGAAACCCUGAUGCAGCGACGCCGCGUGAAGGAAGAAGUAUCUCGGUAUGUAAACUUCUAUCAGCAGGGAAGAAAAUGACGGUACCUGACUAAGAAGCCCCGGCUAACUACGUGCCAGCAGCCGCGGUAAUACGUAGGGGGCAAGCGUUAUCCGGAUUUACUGGGUGUAAAGGGAGCGUAGACGGAGCAGCAAGUCUGAUGUGAAAGGCGGGGGCUCAACCCCCGGACUGCAUUGGAAACUGUUGAUCUUGAGUACCGGAGAGGUAAGCGGAAUUCCUAG